GACGAACGCUGGCGGCGUGCUUAACACAUGCAAGUCGAACGCUGAAGCUCAGCUUUUGUUGGGUGGAUGAGUGGCGAACGGGUGAGUAACACGUGAGUAACCUGCCCCCUUCUUUGGGAUAACGCCCGGAAACGGGUGCUAAUACUGGAUAUUCACUGGUCUUCGCCUGGGGGUUGGUGGAAAGGGUUUUUCUGGUGGGGGAUGGGCUCGCGGCCUAUCCGCUUGUUGGUGGGGUGAUGGCCUAACCAUGCUUUGACGGGUAGCCGGCCUGAGAGGGUGACCGGUCACAUUGGGACUGAGAUACGGCCCAGACUCCGACGGGAGGCAGCAGUGGGGAAGAUUGCACAAUGGGCGCAAGCCUGAUGCAGCGACGGCGCGUGAGGGAUGGAGGCCUUCGGGUUGUGAACCUCUUUCGCUCAUGGUCAAGCCGCAACAAUGGUUGUGGUGAGGGUAGUGGGUAAAGAAGCGCCGGCUAACUACGUG
Molecule: ribosomal RNA, 483 nt
Filed under: uncultured bacterium
Lineage: Bacteria
Description: partial 16S ribosomal RNA
Rfam family: Bacterial small subunit ribosomal RNA
Source: RNAcentral